GACGAACGCUGGCGGCGUGCCUAAUACAUGCAAGUCGAACGCUGAAGGAGGAGCUUGCUUCUCUGGAUGAGUUGCGAACGGGUGAGUAACGCGUAGGUAACCUGCCUGGUAGCGGGGGAUAACUAUUGGAAACGAUAGCUAAUACCGCAUAAGAGUAGAUGUUGCAUGACAUUUGCUUAAAAGGUGCAAUUGCAUCACUACCAGAUGGACCUGCGUUGUAUUAGCUAGUUGGUGGGGUAACGGCUCACCAAGGCGACGAUACAUAGCCGACCUGAGAGGGGGGUCGGCCACACUGGGACUGAGACACGGCCCAGACUCCUACGGGAGGCAGCAGGAGGGAAUCUUCGGCAAUUGACGGAAGUCUGACCGAGCAACGCCGCGUGAGUGAAGAAGGUUUUCGGAUCGUAAAGCUCUGUUGUAAGAGAAGAACGAGUGUGAGAGUGGAAAGUUCACACUGUGACGGUAUCUUACCAGAAAGGGACGGCUAACUACGUG
This 495-nucleotide ribosomal RNA is filed under the name uncultured bacterium. Its description in RNAcentral is "partial 16S ribosomal RNA". It matches the Rfam family "Bacterial small subunit ribosomal RNA", at positions 28 to 507 of the family's 1533-position model. The record is from RNAcentral.